This 481-nucleotide ribosomal RNA is filed under the name uncultured bacterium. RNAcentral describes it as "bacterial SSU rRNA". It matches the Rfam family "Bacterial small subunit ribosomal RNA", at positions 19 to 518 of the family's 1533-position model. The record is from RNAcentral.
CUGGCUCAGGAUGAACGCUGGCGGCGUGCUUAACACAUGCAAGUCGAGCGAGAAAAAUUCUUCGGAAUUUUUUAGCGGCGGACGGGUGAGUAACACGUGGGCAACCUGCCUUAUAGAGGGGAAUAGCCUUCCGAAAGGAAGAUUAAUACCGCAUAAUAUUAUUAAAAGGCAUCUUCUGAUAAUCAAAGGAGCAAUCUGCUAUAAGAUGGGCCCGCGGCGCAUUAGCUAGUUGGUGAGGUAACGGCUCACCAAGGCGACGAUGCGUAGCCGACCUGAGAGGGUGAUCGGCCACAUUGGGACUGAGACACGGCCCAGACUCCUACGGGAGGCAGCAGUGGGGAAUAUUGCACAAUGGGGGAAACCCUGAUGCAGCAACGCCGCGUGAGUGAUGAAGGUCUUCGGAUUGUAAAGCUCUGUCUUUGGGGACGAUAAUGACGGUACCCAAGGAGGAAGCCACGGCUAACUACGUGCCAGCCGCGGC